This 841-nucleotide long non-coding RNA is filed under the name Struthio camelus australis. Its description in RNAcentral is "lncRNA (ENSSCUG00000016067.1)". The record is from RNAcentral. Lineage: Eukaryota; Metazoa; Chordata; Aves; Struthioniformes; Struthionidae.
AUGGUGAGAGAACUAUCAUCCAGGACACCAGGGUCUUGCCCAAAUAUAUGUGCAGCAAUGAAUCUGGAAUCAAAUCCAAAAGAAAACAAGAGAAGAAAUAUUCCUGCUAGUACAUAUGGUUUUAGCAAAGAUUUGACAAGGAAGGGCAGCAAUGAGUUAAAAUCUCCCUCCAAAAUAUCACAUGAGGAGGAAGGUGAUUAUGAGACUGUAAGUAGUUCCACUCUGGAAGCCAUGCAUGCUUUGAGAAUUCUUCCAGCCAAACCUCUACAAGAAUCUGAAUAUGCAGACACACGUUGUUUAAAGCCUUUAGGUACCACUUCCCGUGUGACUAACCAGCACACAUCUUCUCAGCCUCCUCAAUACUUGACUGUAAGUAAAGAUAUUAAGCCUAAUUCAUGAUAUAUUUCUCCUUAUCUGUGAUAGUGCUUAAAGUUAAGUGCAGCUUACCUAUAAUCUUAGCCAAAUAACAUUUAAUUUUUACAAGUUCACAACAGUUGCAUUGUGUUCCUGUUUCACUUUGCAACAAAUAUUAUUGUUGUUGUCCUUGUAACUUACGGGAACCAUAUCAACUGUAUCUAUCUAUAUAUAUCUAAGUAUACUUAUGUCAUACCUAUAUUUAUGGGAGACAAUCAGCCCCACAACUGUGCUUAAUGCCUAACCCUGCUGCUUUCACUUAUUAACUGCACAAGAUCAAGACUGGAUCUACAAAGGAAGCAUUUGGAGGCAUCUCAGUCAAGAACAACACUGUUUCUGUUAGCUAUAGUUUCAUGUGUAAUGACUAACAUCGUAUCUUGAUUUUAUUUUAUUAACAGAAACACAUGUCCAUUCUAGAGGGGAUGAG